Molecule: ribosomal RNA, 773 nt
Filed under: uncultured bacterium
Lineage: Bacteria
Description: bacterial SSU rRNA
Rfam family: Bacterial small subunit ribosomal RNA
Source: RNAcentral
AGUCGAAGAACACUGAAAGCAGAUUACUUCGGUAUGAAGCUUUCUUUGACUGAGUGGCGGACGGGUGAGUAACGCGUGGGUAACCUGCCUCAUACAGGGGGAUAACAGUUAGAAAUGACUGCUAAUACCGCAUAAGCGCACGGUUUCGCAUGGAACAGUGUGAAAAACUCCGGUGGUAUGGGAUGGACCCGCGUCUGAUUAGCUGGUUGGCGGGGUAACGGCCCACCAAGGCGACGAUCAGUAGCCGGCCUGAGAGGGUGAACGGCCACAUUGGGACUGAGACACGGCCCAAACUCCUACGGGAGGCAGCAGUGGGGAAUAUUGCACAAUGGGGGAAACCCUGAUGCAGCGACGCCGCGUGAAGGAAGAAGUAUUUCGGUAUGUAAAGCUCUAUCAGCAGGGAAGAGAAUGACGGUACCUGACUAAGAAGCCCCGGCUAACUACGUGCCAGCAGCCGCGGUAAUACGUAGGGGGCAAGCGUUAUCCGGAUUUACUGGGUGUAAAGGGAGCGUAGACGGCUGGCCAAGUCUGAAGUGAAAGCCCGGGGCUUAACCCCGGAACGGCUUUGGAAACUGGCCGGCUGGAGUGCUGGAGAGGCAGGCGGAAUUCCUGGUGUAGCGGUGAAAUGCGUAGAUAUCAGGAGGAACACCGGUGGCGAAGGCGGCCUGCUGGACAGUAACUGACGUUGAGGCUCGAAAGCGUGGGGAGCAAACAGGAUUAGAUACCCUGGUAGUCCACGCGGUAAACGAUGAAUGCUAGGUGUCGGGGGGCAA